Rhinopithecus roxellana (golden snub-nosed monkey) is the source of this 440-nucleotide long non-coding RNA. RefSeq lists it as uncharacterized. Lineage: Eukaryota; Metazoa; Chordata; Mammalia; Primates; Cercopithecidae. The transcript has 2 exons. The record is from RefSeq and is a predicted model, not a curated record.
UGCGCCAGGAGCCGCGCCGGCCGGGAGUUGGGUGAGCUGGGGGGCGCCCGCGCCCGCGCGCCGCCCGCCCUAGCUGGGCUAGUGCUGCACAUUCCAGCCAGCCCCCUCCCCAAGACCCCAUUCCCAAUUCCCUUCUCAGCUCCCUCGGGCCGGCAGGGCGGCUCUGAUCAGUAAAAUGCUGUUGAAGACCCACGGACAUGACUGCACCCCUCACUAACUGAUCACUGGUUUGGGGAGGAACACCAAUGUCCCAGUGGAACCUUGAGAACACCUUGGAGUCCUCCUCUUCCUCUCUGGACCUGAGCCAAACUGUGAGUGGCACAGAGCAAGGACCAUAUGUAUUCUGUUCACUGUUGCAUUCUCAGUUCAUUGACCACAGUGCCAAGCACACAGUGAGCACUCCCUGUGUAUCUGCUGAGUAAAUAAACGAACAAACCCAA